UGGGGGAUUUUGGACAAUGGGCGAAAGCCUGAUCCAGCAAUGCCGCGUGUGUGAAGAAGGCCUUCGGGUUGUAAAGCACUUUUGUCCGGAAAGAAAUCCUUGGCUCUAAUACAGUCGGGGGAUGACGGUACCGGAAGAAUAAGCACCGGCUAACUACGUGCCAGCAGCCGCGGUAAUACGUAGGGUGCAAGCGUUAAUCGGAAUUACUGGGCGUAAAGCGUGCGCAGGCGUUUGCUAAGACCGAUGUGAAAUCCCCGGGCUCAACCUGGGAACUGCAUUGGUGACUGGCAGGCUAGAGUAUGGCAGAGGGGGGUAGAAUUCCACGUGUAGCAGUGAAAUGCGUAGAGAUGUGGAGGAAUACCGAUGGCGAAGGCAGCCCCCUGGGCCAAUACUGACGCUCAUGCACGAAAGCGUGGGGAGCAAAACAGGAUUAGAUACCCUGGUAGUCCACGCCCUAAAACGAUGUCAACUAGUUGUUGGGGAUUCAUUUCCUUAGUAACGUAGCUAACGCGUG
This 514-nucleotide ribosomal RNA is filed under the name uncultured bacterium. RNAcentral describes it as "partial 16S ribosomal RNA". It matches the Rfam family "Bacterial small subunit ribosomal RNA", at positions 355 to 861 of the family's 1533-position model. The record is from RNAcentral.